This 253-nucleotide ribosomal RNA is filed under the name uncultured bacterium. RNAcentral describes it as "partial 16S ribosomal RNA". It matches the Rfam family "Bacterial small subunit ribosomal RNA", at positions 524 to 776 of the family's 1533-position model. The record is from RNAcentral.
AACGUAGGUGGCAAGCGUUAUCCGGAAUUACUGGGCGUAAAGGGUGUGCAGGCGGGGGUGCAAGUGGGGGAUGAAAUAUCCCAGCUUAACUGGGAGGGGUUAUGCCAGACUGCAACUCUAGAGGACGAGAGAGGGGGGUGGAAUUCCGGGUGUAGUGGUGAAAUGCGUAGAGAUCGGGAGGAACACCUGUGGCGAAGGCGGCCCCCUGGGCCGGCCCUGACACUGAGACGCGAAGGCGUGGGGAGCGAACGGG